GAUGAACGCUGGCGGCGUGCCUAAUACAUGCAAGUCGAGCGAACAGAUGAGAAGCUUGCUUCUCUGAUGUUAGCGGCGGACGGGUGAGUAACACGUGGGUAACCUACCUAUAAGACUGGGAUAACUCCGGGAAACCGGGGCUAAUACCGGAUAAUAUUUUGAACCGCAUGGUUCAAUAGUGAAAGACGGUUUCGGCUGUCAUUUAUAGAUGGACCCGCGCCGUAUUAGCUAGUUGGUAAGGUAACGGCUUACCAAGGCGACGAUACGUAGCCGACCUGAGAGGGUGAGCGGCCACACUGGAACUGAGACACGGUCCAGACUCCUACGGGAGGCAGCAGUAGGGAAUCUUCCGCAAUGGGCGAAAGCCUGACGGAGCAAAGCCGCGUGAGUGAUGAAGGUCUUCGGAUCGUAAAACUCUGUUGUUAGGGAAGAACAAAUUUGUUAGUAACUGAACAGGUCUUGACGGUACCUAACCAGAAAGCCACGGCUAACUACGUGCCAGCCGCCGCCGUAA
RNAcentral lists this ribosomal RNA (514 nucleotides) under uncultured bacterium. RNAcentral's name for it is "partial 16S ribosomal RNA". It matches the Rfam family "Bacterial small subunit ribosomal RNA", at positions 28 to 523 of the family's 1533-position model. The record is from RNAcentral.